This 102-nucleotide Y RNA is filed under the name Tupaia belangeri chinensis (Chinese tree shrew). Its description in RNAcentral is "Tupaia chinensis (Chinese tree shrew) Y RNA". It matches the Rfam family "Y RNA". From Rfam's summary of the family: Y RNAs are components of the Ro ribonucleoprotein particle (Ro RNP), in association with Ro60 and La proteins. The Y RNAs and Ro60 and La proteins are well conserved, but the function of the Ro RNP is not known. The record is from Rfam by way of RNAcentral. Lineage: Eukaryota; Metazoa; Chordata; Mammalia; Scandentia; Tupaiidae.
GGCUGGUCCUAGUGCAGUGGUAUUUAUAACUACUUGAUCACAGUCAGUUAUAGAUUCCUUUGUUUCUUUUCUACUCCCACUGCUUCACUUGACUAGCCUUAA